Molecule: ribosomal RNA, 484 nt
Filed under: uncultured bacterium
Lineage: Bacteria
Description: partial 16S ribosomal RNA
Rfam family: Bacterial small subunit ribosomal RNA
Source: RNAcentral
AUUGAACGCUGGCGGCAGGCCUAACACAUGCAAGUCGAGCGGAUGAAGGGAGCUUGCUCCUGGAUUCAGCGGCGGACGGGUGAGUAAUGCCUAGGAAUCUGCCUGGUAGUGGGGGAUAACGUCCGGAAACGGGCGCUAAUACCGCAUACGUCCUGAGGGAGAAAGUGGGGGAUCUUCGGACCUCACGCUAUCAGAUGAGCCUAGGUCCGAUUAGCUAGUUGGUGGGGUAAAGGCCUACCAAGGCGACGAUCCGUAACUGGUCUGAGAGGAUGAUCAGUCACACUGGAACUGAGACACGGUCCAGACUCCUACGGGAGGCAGCAGUGGGGAAUAUUGGACAAUGGGCGAAAGCCUGAUCCAGCCAUGCCGCGUGUGUGAAGAAGGUCUUCGGAUUGUAAAGCACUUUAAGUUGGGAGGAAGGGCAGUAAGUUAAUACCUUGCUGUUUUGACGUUACCAACAGAAUAAGCACCGGCUAACUUCGUG